Molecule: ribosomal RNA, 739 nt
Filed under: Bacillus sp. SMCC G972
Lineage: Bacteria; Bacillati; Bacillota; Bacilli; Caryophanales; Bacillaceae
Description: bacterial SSU rRNA
Rfam family: Bacterial small subunit ribosomal RNA
Source: RNAcentral
AGGAUGAACGCUGGCGGCGUGCCUAAUACAUGCAAGUCGAGCGAAUGGAUUGAGAGCUUGCUCUCAAGAAGUUAGCGGCGGACGGGUGAGUAACACGUGGGUAACCUGCCCAUAAGACUGGGAUAACUCCGGGAAACCGGGGCUAAUACCGGAUAACAUUUUGAACUGCAUGGUUCGAAAUUGAAAGGCGGCUUCGGCUGUCACUUAUGGAUGGACCCGCGUCGCAUUAGCUAGUUGGUGAGGUAACGGCUCACCAAGGCAACGAUGCGUAGCCGACCUGAGAGGGUGAUCGGCCACACUGGGACUGAGACACGGCCCAGACUCCUACGGGAGGCAGCAGUAGGGAAUCUUCCGCAAUGGACGAAAGUCUGACGGAGCAACGCCGCGUGAGUGAUGAAGGCUUUCGGGUCGUAAAACUCUGUUGUUAGGGAAGAACAAGUGCUAGUUGAAUAAGCUGGCACCUUGACGGUACCUAACCAGAAAGCCACGGCUAACUACGUGCCAGCAGCCGCGGUAAUACGUAGGUGGCAAGCGUUAUCCGGAAUUAUUGGGCGUAAAGCGCGCGCAGGUGGUUUCUUAAGUCUGAUGUGAAAGCCCACGGCUCAACCGUGGAGGGUCAUUGGAAACUGGGAGACUUGAGUGCAGAAGAGGAAAGUGGAAUUCCAUGUGUAGCGGUGAAAUGCGUAGAGAUAUGGAGGAACACCAGUGGCGAAGGCGACUUUCUGGUCUGUAACUGACA